This 73-nucleotide transfer RNA is filed under the name Canis lupus familiaris (dog). It matches the Rfam family "tRNA". Rfam says of the family: Transfer RNA (tRNA) molecules are approximately 80 nucleotides in length. The record is from Rfam by way of RNAcentral. Lineage: Eukaryota; Metazoa; Chordata; Mammalia; Carnivora; Canidae. RNAcentral also lists the same sequence under 2 other names.
GCCUGGCUGGGUCAAUUGGAAGACUAUGAGACUCUUGAUCUUGAGGUCAUGAGUUCAAGCCCCAUGUUGAGCA